Scomber japonicus (chub mackerel) is the source of this 68-nucleotide small nucleolar RNA. Lineage: Eukaryota; Metazoa; Chordata; Actinopteri; Scombriformes; Scombridae. The record is from RefSeq and is a predicted model, not a curated record.
CUGGGCGUGAUGUAUACCCAACAGCUGACUCACGAUGAAGGUUGUUGUAUUCAUACUGUCUGAUCCAG